Molecule: long non-coding RNA, 349 nt
Filed under: Equus asinus (donkey)
Lineage: Eukaryota; Metazoa; Chordata; Mammalia; Perissodactyla; Equidae
Description: lncRNA (ENSEASG00005031790.1)
Source: RNAcentral
CUCCAGAAGGGGCCGGAGACCAAAGGUCAGCCAUGUGGGCCAUAUGUGAUCAAGCUCCAGUAAAAACUCUGGACACCAAAGGCUUGGAGGUUUAAGGGGCACUGACCCAACACUCUGGGACUCAACACCGUCACACUGGCUGGGAAUGGGAGAAGCAUGGCAUAGGAGUUAAAGUCAUAGUGGAAAGUGUGGAGCUGCCAGGAGAGAGGAGGGGUUGCAUCAUAUGGUGACAAAAGAAUGAAUCCCACCCAGAGGAAGCAGAGCCAAGAAAUGGAUCCCUGUUGUUUGAGUCCUGGAUCAAAUCGUGCCUGGAUCCCCAGUGAGCCAAUAAAUUUUCCUUAUUGCUUCA